Non-coding RNA from Caenorhabditis elegans, 136 nucleotides. Lineage: Eukaryota; Metazoa; Nematoda; Chromadorea; Rhabditida; Rhabditidae. The record is from Ensembl.
CGGUGCGCGGAGAGCAUUGAUGACAAUGACGUGUGCUUAUUUUUCUUUAUUUUCCUCAUUUCUCUCGAUUGUCUCAACUGAAAAACUGUGCGGAGGUGACCGGGCACGCAGCGGGGGAUGAGACGGAAGAAUAGAA